Long non-coding RNA from Mytilus trossulus (common blue mussel), 454 nucleotides. RefSeq lists it as uncharacterized. The record is from RefSeq and is a predicted model, not a curated record. NCBI's taxonomy places the organism in Eukaryota, Metazoa, Mollusca, Bivalvia, Mytilida, Mytilidae. The transcript is spliced from 3 exons.
UGUCAAAGAUGAUUUGCAAAUUUUUCAUACUAGAAGCAAGGAGAUUGAAAAUUAUUCACAGGAAAAACAGUUUGUUUUAAGGCAAUCAAAAUCAACAUUCAAUUAAAUAAAAAAGAGAGUUAAGGAAUUUACGUGCUUUUCCAUGCAUUGUAAGAUUUCCAGAAUAUAGAACAUGUAGUUUCUGAUAAAAAAAACACCAAAAGAUUGCUAAGAUAAAACUGUUGAGUAACUAUUUGUAAUACAGAAUGCAUCAAUAUGGUGGUAUGCUACAUAUAUAAUAUUGAUACUAUGACAGAUGAGAAAAGAAACUGAAGACAUAACCAAAUGCUGAAGUCAGCAAAGAUUAAGAUAUAAAGAGCAGAUAUUUUCCUGAAGAUCUCAUUUAUGUCUCGAAUUUGAAGGGAACAGAAGCUAUCAUGACGAUUCUUUAAAGAAAAGAUACGGAAACACAAGC